Molecule: non-coding RNA, 347 nt
Organism: Triticum urartu
Lineage: Eukaryota; Viridiplantae; Streptophyta; Magnoliopsida; Poales; Poaceae
Source: RefSeq, a predicted model, not a curated record
UAUCUCUUUAUCCAUCUUAAGAUCGUUUGAAAUAUUGGAGGAAAACCAAAAUAUCAUGGUAACAUUUACUAACAGUAAAUCUAUAUCAGCUUGUGAUAUUGAAAUACUCACAUCUAAAUGCUUUAUCUGAAUUCCAGAUCCCAUAGUCGAUGCUAGCAGCUGGUCAAUCUCGAGGCAUACUUCCAAAGGACUGGCAACUCUGAGAUAUUAUUUGGAUGACAAAGCAUUGGAUAUUAUGAUUUCAAUGUAGCUCCUUUUUUCCUUACUCUCAUUAACACUAGAACUGCACGUGAACUUGGGAUAUCAAUUAAGUGAGUAGGAUAUGAAAACUGAUUUGUUUUUCUCUU